Long non-coding RNA from Apis florea (little honeybee), 2900 nucleotides. The record is from RefSeq and is a predicted model, not a curated record. Lineage: Eukaryota; Metazoa; Arthropoda; Insecta; Hymenoptera; Apidae.
AAUAAAGUUCUAAAGAUUUACGAUUAACGUAGUCUAUAAAAUAAAAAUUGAACGAAGAUAAAUUCUCAAGAGAAUAUUAUGUUUUGAAUAAUGAAUCAAUGGAGCAUUGUUUGAAUCGCACGAUCGAGCCGGAAACGAGUAAAGAGAAUACCAACAAAAUUCAACAGAAUAAUGUUCGAUGUCGUGUGACAGGCGGGUCGUGGCCGGAAAAGCGCGAAAAUAGGAAGAGGAAGCGAGCGAAGAAAGAAAGAAAAGAGAGGCGGAGACGUGGAAGUGGCGCGUGGCACUACCGAAUAAGUAUCGAAUGCCGCCAGAUGUUGCGGUGAAGCCAGCUGCUGCACCUCCGCCACUCUGCCCUCUUUUGCUUUUCCUCGCGGUUUUUCGAGAGAGUCGAGCAGAGAACUGGCGUGAAAACCGAAAAGGGACAAGAAGGAAAAGAAAAAGGAGAGCCCUUCGAGCGAGGAGAACAAGAUGGGAAGGAAGUGGCGGAGGGGGUCGAAAGCGAAUAUCCUUCCUGCCGGGGCAACAAACAGGCAGCUGCUCGGAUUUGAGCACGUGCUACUACCACCGUGCGCUGCCACGAUGAGCCUCGUCUUAGAUAGCCGAGGUUGGUAGGUUGCUGGGUAAAGAUAGGUAAGUGUUAUACACCAGCCUAUAUGACUGAAUAUGAUCCAGGUACCCAGCGGGACUGACGAGUAUUUUCGUGCGUGUUCCGGUGAUCUUUGCACGUGCUGCAUUUUAUUCCUUUUCCUAUUUAAAUUCACCUCGAACCUUCCUGAUCUCUUAUUCAUCCAGCAACAAUUGAGCUACCGUUGAAAAUGGCUCUCCUUUCUAUUCUGAAGAAAGAAGUGACUUGAUGAUUUGAUAUGACUAUGUUUUGCACGGAAAAUGAUCGACGAAGGUUGAUCGGUAGGAUGAUCGGAAGAUAUUAUGCACCAACUCUCUAAAUAGAAGGUAUACUAUAUGAGCACCAGAUAUCUCCAAGAAGGGUACGAUCGUGCAUGCAUGCGUAUCUCCCUUCAUGGCAUCAACUAUACGUAAGUUUUCCUUCGGGCUAUUAAUUCUCUUUCAAGGUGGUCUCUGAUUUUGCAAUUUUACACCAGUUGAGUUUUAUGGGUUUUUCCUUUAGUGACGUGAGAUAUUAACAGAUAUUUUCUUAAUAAUCUAUUUAUUAAUCCAGGCAAUGAAAUGAUGAAAAAUUCUAACCUCAAAUUUUAUCGAUUAAAAUUUAUGUUAUUAAUUUUGAUUUUUUUUUUUUAAAGACUAAGGAAAUGAUCGAGCUAUUGAUUUUUAAACGAUUAUAUGUCUAAUAGAAAGUUAAAUUGAUUUUCUGUUGACUGGAUAAUUAAAUUUUCAGCGAAUCGAAUAUCUUCUUAUCUGAUCAUAUAUCCGUAGACCUGGCGUUAUUAAUUUAGUAGAAAUCUGCAGGUGCUUCUACAGAAAUUUCGUUAAUCGAUCCUACAUUCAUGUCGACCAUGCAUCCAUAAUCAAACCCGCAUUCAAAGAUCCUUCAAAGAAAUUUUAUCCGUUUAAUUGCAAAUGAAAAAUACAUAUUUUAUUUUUCUUAUUUUUGAAUUUUUAUAUUAAUUAUAAAAUCUGAUAUUCGUUGUAUAUGCUGAAAGAUCAAUUGAUUUCAAUUCAAAAAAAAAAAAAAAAAAAAAUUACCUGAAUAAAGGGAAUCAAAUAAUUUUAUCCACAGGAAUAUUUAUGAAAAGGAUCAAUAGAAGAUUGUCUUAUAUCAUUUAGCUAUAUUCAAAAACGCAUGACACAUUAGUUACAAUAUUACAAAUGAUAUUUAUUGGCCUGGUCCUCCAUGGUACCUGAUAAUCAUGCGACACCUGUUACGACACAACACUUACUUAAUUGGAGGCUACGAACAGCUGCCCACACGACGAACCAAUCACGGCGGUUCGCCUGAAAUUCUUCUUUACCCGCGACAUCCCUGACGAGCACCUGUUCCAAUUCGGAAUAUAUACCGAACAAGGAUCCUUGACCAGGAUUUCUCACGAAAGGAAAGUCCGUAUUGAUUGUUGGAUUCCGAUUUAUUCGAUCGACAGCCCGUGAUUUCGUUUCGAUGAUGAUGAUGAUGCAAUUAAUUAGCCAAUUAAUUAAAACAUGCGGCUACGAAAUUGGAAUAUCAAUCAAAUCCAAAUUUAAAUUAGAAAUAUUUAAUAUUUCGCAAUAUGUUUCUUUUUUCAAAUUAAAAUUAAAAAUAAAUUUCAGUUAAAAUUCAGACUACUAAUUAGUGAGAAUAGAAAACACUUUUGUAUAAUUAUUUUGAACAUAUUUCAAUUUUUAUGUUACAUAUAUACUUUUUUUUAUCAUUUUAGAGUACGCUGUGUGAUUUUUUUUACAAACAAGCGAUUGCAUUUAUUACUCAACUGUCAUAGCGAAGCUGGAAAUUUGUCCAUCGCAUAAAAGCAUAUCAUGCUCAAAUAUUCGAGGAGGCUGCAGUUAGUUCUUAAGUCCUUUGCUACUUUACAACGACACUGCGUAACGAUGCUGGACGGACGGCGGGCACAGCUGUCAACCCGUGUCCACAAGAGGACCAUGCUUGAAUUUCUAUAUCGUCCACGAUAUCAUACUCAAAUAUGUAUUCGGUAUAUAUACAACUAUGGCGAAAUUCCUUGAUGUUACCUCACCAUGCUUAAUGACACGUAAGAGGUCUGCGUAUUACACCUGUCAGGCCACCUUUGCCAAAAAUUACUCAAAUUCUGUCUCUUAAGAUGGGACAUGGAUGAUCAACCAGCUGGUGUUAUAGCUUUUCACGAUUUCGCAAUGUUUGAUCAACGAAAAUUCAAGAAAAUUGUUCUGCUUGGGAUUAAUUGUCAAACUUGAGAAUCUCGACAAUUAAAAUUAAGGGAAGUAUUAGUGAUUAAAUAAUUUAAAAUUUCUUCAAU